GUCGGGUAUGGUAGUUGGUUAGAGCGUCGUACUAAUGCAGCAUUGAAUUGCAUCAAGUAAAUGCGAAGGUCAUGGGUUCGACCCCAAUACUGACA
This is a non-coding RNA of Xylaria bambusicola, 95 nucleotides long. The record is from the annotation of a RefSeq genome assembly. Lineage: Eukaryota; Fungi; Ascomycota; Sordariomycetes; Xylariales; Xylariaceae.